RNAcentral lists this ribosomal RNA (464 nucleotides) under uncultured bacterium. Its description in RNAcentral is "partial 16S ribosomal RNA". It matches the Rfam family "Bacterial small subunit ribosomal RNA", at positions 28 to 507 of the family's 1533-position model. The record is from RNAcentral.
GACGAACGCUGGCGGCGUGCCUAACACAUGCAAGUCGAGCGAAUGAAGUUCCUUCGGGAAUGGAUUUAGCGGCGGACGGGUGAGUAACACGUGGGCAACCUGCCUCAUAGAGGGGAAUAGCCUUCCGAAAGGGAGAUUAAUACCGCAUAAGAUUGUAGUAUCGCAUGAUACAGCAAUUAAAGGAGCAAUCCGCUAUGAGAUGGGCCCGCGGCGCAUUAGCUAGUUGGUGAGGUAACGGCUCACCAAGGCGACGAUGCGUAGCCGACCUGAGAGGGUGAUCGGCCACAUUGGGACUGAGACACGGCCCAGACUCCUACGGGAAGCAGCAGUGGGGAAUAUUGCACAAUGGGGGAAACCCUGAUGCAGCAACGCCGCGUGAGUGAUGACGGCCUUCGGGUUGUAAAGCUCUGUCUUCAGGGACGAUAAUGACGGUACCUGAGGAGGAAGCCACGGCUAACUACGUG